Molecule: long non-coding RNA, 3438 nt
Filed under: Equus caballus (horse)
Lineage: Eukaryota; Metazoa; Chordata; Mammalia; Perissodactyla; Equidae
Description: lncRNA (ENSECAG00000042542.2)
Source: RNAcentral
AAGUUUGAGAACCAGGGCUCUAGCAGAGGGCUUGUUAAAACACAGAUUGCUGCCCCUCUUUCCUGAGUUUCCGAUUCAGUAGGUCUUGGACGGAAUCAGAGACCUUACUUUAAGGCGACAGGGCUAGACGCAGGGAACAUGGGAGAGAAAGAGAGAUUAUGGCUUUAAAAUAGCCUGGGCAGGAGCUUACCUGGAAAAGAAGCAAGAAUGGGCUCAAAAACACACAACUAAAGUUGAUUUGUUCUACCAACUGACUGAAAGAGGAUGAAGCAUGAAGAAACGAUUUUCCACCAGGAGCAAAGCUGGAGGAACAUUUACUCUGAGCGAGGCUGGAACAGUGACGCUUUAAAGAAAAUUGCUGAAGGUGCUUUAGACCCAAAGUCAAAUAGCCUACACCAAAUUUGAAACAAAGAGCUACAAGAGAAAUUUCUUGGAGGUUUCCAGACUGGACUUUCCUCUCCAAGAAAUCAGGUGGGAUGCUGCCUCAGCGUGGUCUGAUGAGCAGUGCCAUGUCCGCGCCCAGGAUUCGAACUAACGAAACACUGGACCGCCUGCAGCGGAGCGCGCGAACUUAACCACUCGGCCACGGGGCCAGCCCCGUAACUCAAUUCUUUAAUUUCACUGCUGAUUAAAAUGAAGUUCAGAGAGUAAAUGACUUGGUUAAGGUGCCAAUGAAUGGAGGCCAUAGUGACAUAAUGGAAAUCCAGCUCUCCCCACUGCCCGGCAUCGCCCUUUAGCGGGAACCCCUCUGAACCCUGAUGCAGUUUGGACCAGCUGCAUUCAAUUGGCAAUGCUUGGCGCCCACUCCAGCUGGGAAGUCUGCUUUGAGGGCUAAGUAGGAGGUUAGUGGUGGAGGUCUUCAUCUUGGAGUAACCAGCAUGGAUGUGUUUGAUUUCCAAAUAAUUUAGAUUUAGGGAAAAAACAAGAAAAUACAACAGAAAAUAUAAACAAAGAAAAGCAGAGGACCCAAAGAGCUCUUGGAGAGAAAGUCAGAAACACCAUAACUGUUCUGACUCAGUGACUUUGCAAUCAAGUAAAAAAGAAUGGCCAACACUGUGAAACGCAGAAAAAAAGUCAAGUAGGAUGAAGCUUCAAACAGCCAUUGGACUUCGGCGGUUGAGGUCAUGGUGACAUUUGGAGGAGCAUGUCCACUGAGUUGUUGGGGAAAGAAGGGAAAUUCAUUUCCAAGAAAAGAGAAGAAGCAAUGAGAUAAUGAAGAAACGUGGGUAGUCAAGUUCAAGCGUCUCGUCGUGUAAAAGAGAUAAUCAAGACCUAGGGGAUAACAAGGUCAAGUCAAGGACUCAGAAGGGCAGGAGCUUCACCUGUGUUUGCUGAGCGCAAAGGGGACUUGGCGGCGUGGGAUGGACCUCGCACACACAAAAGCAAACGCAGAGUUGCGGCGAUGCCGGGAUGUGCGCACUAGAUGGCAGUAGCGGGGCCCUUUCGGCUAGGCUCGCGGUCCUAUAAGACGCUGCUUGUUUAAGUACAGUCGCAUUUAGUUGGAGCUGCAGGGGAGUGAGGGAGAGGAGGGUAGGAAGGACGAGAGCGGGAGAGCUUGAGGGAGAAGGGGGCUCGCUGUGUUUACACGAGGCACAGGCUCGAGCGUCCAUCCCGGGCCCUGGCUGGCGCUCUUGCGGAGGGAGCGAAGCUGUUCUGGCUCCGGCCGUCUUGUGGCAGGAGCUGAUCUGUCCGGGUUGCCGGAGCUGGGAGAGCCCAGAGGGAAACCGAGGGACACGAGCGGCGUGGUGCACUAGAGAGAGCGCGAGCGGCAGAGGCGAGAGCGGAGCGCGCGAGGGAGCAUCGAGCGCGGCGGAGACAUGAGGACCUACUGGCUGCACAGCGUCUGGGUGCUGGGCUUCUUCCUGUCCCUCUUCUCGCUGCAAGGUAAGUGAAACUGAUUUUUACAACAGAAAUAUGGUUACUGGACUGCUUCAGCAUGUAAUGACUUUCUCCACAGAAUAUACCACAAAGUGACAUCUCAGUAUCUUCCAUCACCUCUGUUUGAUUCGUGAGUCUUUACCCAGAAGUGCUAAAUAUCCAAUAAAUAACCUAGGAUUAAGAAAUAUAUAAAUAGCUGUAUCUCUAUCUCCAUAUCAUGUUUGGUUGUGUCUUUCUUUAAGGUAAGUGAAUUCUGUUCGAAUCUCAGUUUUAUGCAAAAUGAGGGGAAUAUUGUUCCCUUUCCAGCAAUAUCCAUAGUGAAUUUUCGUUAAAGAGCAUUCUUCUUUAAUCCAUUUUACUUCGUUUGAUUAAAGUUGGAUAUAUCUUCAGGGGCAUGCUCUUUCAUCAUUUGAGGUACACCUCUCUGUAUAUGUUGAUACUUCUGUUUUGUUCUUUCCUCCUUAAAAGACAAUCUCGAAGGUAUGGGAUUGGUUUGAUUUUUGGUGUGCUCUAGAGUGUAAAAUAUUAAAAUGCAUGACUUCUUUCCCAUUGCAUUAUCCAAAUUUACUUGGAGGUUGGAGUUUUAGACUUGAAGAAUAUGAGUUCUUAGCAGCGCAGUGUAGAGUUGGAUUUAGUUGGCAAGAUGUGAGAUACAUAGUAAAAAGAGGGAAAAGAAUACAUGGGAGUUAUUAAAUAUUUGAACAGUGACUGCUCCUAGGAAAUUGGCAAUGAGUCUUCUUGGCCUCUAGCCUGGGCUUGGCCAUUCUUGUGGCUUUUCUCACUUAGCAAUUCUUUAAUUCCUUAUCCUGCUUUCCAAAUUCAGUUUUCGUUUUCUGCAUAGACAGCAUCAGCCAUGUUGUAUUUGUCUAUUAACAUUUACUGGGGGUAUCUCUGAUGUUACAACGGAAUGACUUGUGUAUAGCUUGUGGGGAAUUUGAUACAGGUUCCCCUACCCUCUACAGGGAGGUGACACAUCUCCUUGUAUUCAUAAUAAUUAUCCUAGCUGAUGGAGCUCAUCGAGCCAGCCUCUCUGCUCACUUGAUGGGGAGAGGUUUUCUGAGGUGCUUCUGAUUCCCUGUUUGAAUUCUGUCAUCUAUAUCCAUGUGUGAAAUUAUUAAUUACAAAACACAAUGGAAUGGUCUUGCAGCAAAAGACUGAACAGCUUUACUUGAAGGUCACUGUUGGAAUUGGCCCUCUGUGAUACAUUAUUAUAAGCAUUUCAUUUUUUUCACUGUUAAUUGGGUACCUCAUUCAGUGGUUUACUUUGUGUGUCAAAAUGGGUCUUGCUAUAUAUGGAAAAUUUAGAAUGGAAGUAUUGCUGUACAUUAUGUAGCUUUUAAUUUCAAAAGUGGAAAGGCCCAAAGCACCUCUGUCUCAUGGAAAAAACAAAGCUAGAUUAAAUAGGUGAAAUAGUAACUUAUUUCUGAAGUUAUGGUGAAUAUGGCAAGAGCAAAAUUUCAUAGAUAAAAAUGAUAGCUGAUACGAAGAAGGUGAUGGUGGUGGUGGUGGUGGUGGUGAUGGUGGUGGAGUUGGUAAUGGUGUUCCAAACCUGGAAAUAUG